This is a long non-coding RNA of Felis catus (domestic cat), 2791 nucleotides long. RefSeq lists it as uncharacterized. Lineage: Eukaryota; Metazoa; Chordata; Mammalia; Carnivora; Felidae. The transcript has 2 exons. The record is from RefSeq and is a predicted model, not a curated record.
CCCACCUCUCAAGAUGAAAUCACCAUUAUCCAGCAUGGUAGCAAAAGUGCUAACCAAGUAUGGUUGAGCAGGGCCUCUCAGAGGGCUCACACCGUGGGCAGGUCCCAGUACGCAUGUGCGGAACAAGGGACUCCACGGAUCAUCCAAUUUCACACACAUGGAGUAGCCAAAUUAGAGCAUUAGAAUUCAGGAACCAUUACCCUCCUAAAAUUCUAUGACCAUAUUUCAGUUCUGUCCCUUGAUUUGGAAGUGGUUCAGCAUCUUACAAUACCUAUAGGUCAUCAAUAAAAUGGCAUUUAACAAAAAUUGAUAAAAGGACAAAAUACGUGAGUGACCAUUAGGAAGGUGGAUAUUCUUGUUUAUAACAUGGCUAGGAAGAGAGGUCUUAAUGUACUUAACAGUUAGUUUAUUGAAAAAAAAAAUGUAUGCCUAGUCCACGUUCCCAGGUGAUAGGAUUACACAUUAGGGAAUUUUUCGAACGUGAACAUGAGAGAAAGCCUUUCUGUGAACGUAGAACUUUUGAGCUUUGUAAAGUGGAGAUCACUAGAGUAGCGCCUCAGAGAGCCACGAGGAUUUGAAGAGUGAGAACUUGUAAGCAUUUAGCCGUACCUUUCUUGGAAUACGUGUGAAUGCAGUAAAAUCCGUGUGAAUGCCAUCACUCUCAUCCCUCACCUCCGAAAUGUGCAGUUUUACUUGUUGGAAUGCUAACAACAGAAGUGGCCUCAAGAUGGGAUUUCGGAUUACUCCUCUUGGUGACCCAUAUUGUUGGCGAUAUGCCGGUUUGGGUUCAUCAAAGUUCCCCUGCAAGCAUUUGGCAAACGGAUUGCAAAGUUGACUCAAGAAAAGGGUCUCUUGAUCCUCCGUGAUGCUACUGAUCUUCCUUCUGUCUUGAUUCUAAAACUUCCUUGUAGCUCUGCUCAUGAGGUAUAUGUGAUCUCGUUUAUUUAAGAAAAUACAUUACCCAAGCUGAGAGGCAUGAAUUUUGGUUCAAUGUGAGGUCAAGACUCUCAGCCUCAGCGUAUUUUCUUAAAGGUACACCCUUCAAGAUUAUUGUCACGUUUCUUUUGCACUCUUAGCUAAAAUAGAACUAGACCCCAGUUCCUUUUUUUGUUUUGUUUUCAUUUUUUUUGUUUUGUUUUCAUUUCUCUAAGUGGAGAAUUGUCCUCAUGGAAGAAUAUCGUCUUUAAGUUUACAGUGCUAUUAAAAUGAUGGUUCACACCAAACUAAUAUGGGUCGUUAAAGGUAAAACUAUUAUUAUCAGAUAAUAUGAUGUGUAGGACCGUUUGGGGGUAAGUUAACUAAUUGAAAAUGCGCCUUGCCAUUAUGGUUAUGAACCCCCAUCCCUACUUUCAUAUUGAGAGAAAGGACUCAAUACGUGUGAUGGAAAACAUCAUGGCGCUUCUGGGCAUGAAGGCCGUGCCAGUGGGAGCACGAGGCCAUCAGAACUAAAGCAGCACCUUGUGCUGUGCACAUGAUGCGCCCGUUUCAUGAUUUCAAAAGAAUUGGAUUUUCCUGAAAUUUGGAUUUGCCCCAACACAAACCCUCUUUGGUGGCUUAUCUCAUUGCCAAGGACAUUCGGCCACAUGCAAAAGGCUGAGGUGAUUGAUGGCUUAAACCAGAAAGAAAAUGACAGCAUACCUCUGUCCCAUGACAUCGUCCACUGCAACAUGCUCCUGCCUCUUCUGAUAUUGGAAGCCACUCCAAAACACUGCUUCUGACAGAUGCCGGAUGUCUCCCAUUUUAUGCAUCUGGGCAACAUGGGAAAUUUCUGUGUGAGCCUCGUGUGUAAGCAUCAGAGGCAGGUAACCUCUUCAGAAUGUCAAGAAGUUUCCUUUCUUGGCAAAGCUUUGUACCCAUUGUCAUGUCACGACUCAGUGUUUCUUCAUAAGCAUGUGCUGGGGGCUGAAACUCAAUUCCACUUCCCCUCCUGAAAGAAAUGCUGUCUUCUGUCAUGACUCCAUCCAAGCCACUGGGGCUGAACAGUUCCGGAAAGACAGUGCUUGCUACUUCAGUAGAUACUUUCUGCCGUUCCGGAGUCACGGACUUAUCAUGCAUGGCUGAACUUCAUGCAUGAGUUUUACUUUUCCCAAAGAAAAACAUGUUGUUAAAACAUUUUGAUGGGUUGAAGCCCAUGGCUUCUGAGGUUUCCCUGGUAGAUACUCUUGAAAAACAAUAAGCAUCUUGGCAAAGCUACUGCUCUAGAAAGAGAAGUUAGAAGCAAGCAUGUGCAAGAACAUUCCAGCGUGGAAGGAAUUGCUGCUGUGGGCCAGUCUGUAAUAACAAAGCCUUCUGAACCCCCAUGCUGGCAGAAAUCUGAGGGUGCCUGGAAACCGGCAAGGUUCUGCUGACUUCUGUUUAGACAUAGCAUCAAUGAUGCAGAUCCAGCGAGAGCUGAUUCUACUGCCUGAACCAAAGUAAAAGGAUUCAAAUGAAUAUCUCUCAAAGAGCUUUAGAGGUUCAUUUUCAUCUUCAGCACCAUCCCAGCACUCAUCUGCCAAGAUGCUUUGGAAUUUCUGCGGCCAUCAGGCGUGUGCCAACCCUUGGACAUCUGCACAUGCGGGGCUGAUGUUCAGCAGACCCACACCGGCACGGCCAUGCUUACGACAAAGCCCACUGUGAUGGUUGGAGGCUCUGUUGGGAACUCUCCCACCCAUGUAGUGCCGGCUGCUAGAUAUUAAAAGGGAAGUUUCUGACAAAUGUGUCCACGUUUUAGAAACUUAAUUAGAUGAGCACCAAGGCUCAUGAUGGCCCUGGAGGAUGGAGUAAUAAAAGCUGCUCUUCACUGCUGCUG